Molecule: long non-coding RNA, 191 nt
Organism: Salvelinus sp. IW2-2015
Lineage: Eukaryota; Metazoa; Chordata; Actinopteri; Salmoniformes; Salmonidae
Source: RefSeq, a predicted model, not a curated record
GAAGGUACUGUACUGUGGAUAGAAGGUACUGGAGAAUAGAAGGGCUGAGAUAGAAGUACUGUAGAUAGAAGGUACUGUAGAUAGAAGGUACUGUAGAUAGAUAGAAGGUGCUGUAGAUAGAAGGUACUGUAGAUAGAAGGUGCUGUAGAUAGAAGGUACUGUAGAUAGAAGGUACUGUACUGUAGAUAGAA